RNAcentral lists this ribosomal RNA (253 nucleotides) under uncultured bacterium. Its description in RNAcentral is "partial 16S ribosomal RNA". It matches the Rfam family "Bacterial small subunit ribosomal RNA", at positions 524 to 776 of the family's 1533-position model. The record is from RNAcentral.
UACGUAGGGGGCAAGCGUUGUCCGGAAUUACUGGGCGUAAAGCGCGUGUAGGCGGGUCGGCAAGUCGGUCGUGAAAGGCUUCGGCUCAACCGGAGAUGGCCGAUCGAAACUGCCGUUCUUGAGGGUCGAAGAGGAGAGUGGAAUUCCUGGUGUAGCGGUGAAAUGCGUAGAGAUCAGGAGGAACACCCAUGGCGAAGGCAGCUCUCUGGUCGACCUCUGACGCUGAGACGCGAAAGCGUGGGGAGCGAACGGG